UUCUCCUUCGGGGGACAAAGUGACAGGUGGUGCAUGGUUGUCGUCAGCUCGUGUCGUGAGAUGUUGGGUUAAGUCCCGCAACGAGCGCAACCCUUAAGCUUAGUUGCCAUCAUUAAGUUGGGCACUCUAAGUUGACUGCCGGUGACAAACCGGAGGAAGGUGGGGAUGACGUCAAAUCAUCAUGCCCCUUAUGAUUUGGGCUACACACGUGCUACAAUGGACAAUACAAAGGGCAGCGAAACCGCGAGGUCAAGCAAAUCCCAUAAAGUUGUUCUCAGUUCGGAUUGUAGUCUGCAACUCGACUACAUGAAGCUGGAAUCGCUAGUAAUCGUAGAUCAGCAUGCUACGGUGAAUACGUUCCCGGGUCUUGUACACACCGCCCGUCACACCACGAGAGUUUGUAACACCCGAAGCCGGUGGAGUAACCUUUUAGGAGCUAGCCGUCGAAGGUGGGACAAAUGAUUGGGGUGAAGUCGUAACAAGGUAGCCGUAUCGGAAGGUGCGGCUGGAUCACCUCCUUU
This 521-nucleotide ribosomal RNA is filed under the name Staphylococcus aureus. RNAcentral describes it as "bacterial SSU rRNA". It matches the Rfam family "Bacterial small subunit ribosomal RNA", at positions 1012 to 1533 of the family's 1533-position model. The record is from RNAcentral. Lineage: Bacteria; Bacillati; Bacillota; Bacilli; Caryophanales; Staphylococcaceae.